RNAcentral lists this ribosomal RNA (253 nucleotides) under uncultured bacterium. RNAcentral describes it as "partial 16S ribosomal RNA". It matches the Rfam family "Bacterial small subunit ribosomal RNA", at positions 524 to 776 of the family's 1533-position model. The record is from RNAcentral.
UACGUAGGAUGCAAGCGUUGUCCGGAUUUAUUGGGCGUAAAGAGUUCGUAGGUGGUUUGUUAAGUCUGAUGUUAAAGACUGGGGCUCAACCUCGGAAAUGCAUUGGAUACUGGCAGACUUGAGUGUGGUAGAGGCAAUCGGAAUUCCAGGUGUAGCGGUGAAAUGCGUAGAUAUCUGGAAGAACACCGGUGGCGCAAGCGGAUUGCUGGGCCAUAACUGACACUGAGGAACGAAAGCUAGGGUAGCGAAUGGG